CCCGCCGGCGACCGGCGCACGGGUGAGUAACACGUAUGAAACCUGCCCGUAGCAGGGGGAUAAGCGGAAGAAAUUCCGUCUAAUACCGCGUAACAACCCAUGGAGGCAUCUCUGUGGGUUUAAAGGAAGCGAUUCCGGCGGGGGAUGGGCAUGCGGCGCAUUAGCUAGUCGGCGGGGUAACGGCCCACCGAGGCGACGAUGCGUAGGGGUUCUGAGAGGAAGGUCCCCCACACUGGUACUGAGACACGGACCAGACUCCUACGGAAGGCAGCAG
Molecule: ribosomal RNA, 274 nt
Filed under: uncultured bacterium
Lineage: Bacteria
Description: partial 16S ribosomal RNA
Rfam family: Bacterial small subunit ribosomal RNA
Source: RNAcentral